UAGUUGGUGGGGUAAAGGCCUACCAAGGCGACGAUCAGUAGCGGGUCUGAGAGGAUGAUCCGCCACACUGGGACUGAGACACGGCCCAGACUCCUACGGGAGGCAGCAGUGGGGAAUUUUGGACAAUGGGGGCAACCCUGAUCCAGCCAUUCCGCGUGAGUGAAGAAGGCCUUCGGGUUGUAAAGCUCUUUCAGCUGGAACGAAACGGUACAUCCUAAUACGGUGUGCUAAUGACGGUACCAGCAGAAGAAGCACCGGCUAACUACGUGCCAGCAGCCGCGGUAAUACGUAGGGUGCGAGCGUUAAUCGGAAUUACUGGGCGUAAAGCGUGCGCAGGCGGAUUGUUAAGCAAGAUGUGAAAUCCCCGGGCUUAACCUGGGAAUGGCAUUUUGAACUGGCAGUCUAGAGUGCGUCAGAGGGGGGUGGAAUUCCACGUGUAGCAGUGAAAUGCGUAGAGAUGUGGAGGAACACCAAUGGCGAAGGCAGCCCCCUGGGAUGACACUGACGCUCAUGUACGAAAGCGUGGGUAGCAAACAGGAUUAGAUACCCUGGUAGUCCACGCCCUAAACGAUGUCAACUGGUUGUUGGGGGAGUGAAAUCCCUUAGUAACGAAGCUAACGCGUGAAGUUGACCGCCUGGGGAGUACGGUCGCAAGAUUAAAACUCAAAGGAAUUGACGGGGACCCGCACAAGCGGUGGAUGAUGUGGAUUAAUUCGAUGCAACGCGAAAAACCUUCCCUACCCUUGACAUGUCCAGAACCCUGCAGAGAUGCGGGGGUGCCCGAAAGGGAAUUGGAACACAGGUGCUGCAUGGCUGUCGUCAGCUCGUGUCGUGAGAUGUUGGGUUAAGUCCCGCAACGAGCGCAACCCUUAUCAUUAGUUGCUACGCAAGGGCACUCUAAUGAGACUGCCGG
Molecule: ribosomal RNA, 913 nt
Filed under: uncultured bacterium
Lineage: Bacteria
Description: bacterial SSU rRNA
Rfam family: Bacterial small subunit ribosomal RNA
Source: RNAcentral